AGAGUUUGAUCCUGGCUCAGGAUGAACGCUAGCGGCAGGCCUAAUACAUGCAAGUCGGACGGGAUUGAGGAGCUUGCUCUUCAUGAGAGUGGCGCACGGGUGCGUAACACGUAUGUAACCUACCUUGUUCAGGGGGAUAGCCUCUCGAAAGAGAGAUUAAGACCGCAUAAAAUCGCACGGUGGCAUCACCAAAUGAUCAAAUAUUAAUAGGAACAAGAUGGGCAUGCGGAACAUUAGCUAGUUGGUGAGGUAACGGCUCACCAAGGCGACGAUGUUUAGGGGAUCUGAGAGGAUGACCCCCCACACUGGUACUGAGACACGGACCAGGCUCCUACGGGAGGCAGCAGUAGGGAAUAUUGGUCAAUGGACGGAAGUCUGAACCAGCCAUGCCGCGUGCAGGAAGACGGCCCUAUGGGUUGUAAACUGCUUUUGCAGGGGAAUAAACCUCUUUACGUGUAAAGAGCUGAAUGUACUCUGAGAAUAAGGAUCGGCUAACUCCGUGCCAGCAGCCGCGGUAAUACGGAGGAUCCAAGCGUUAUCCGGAUUUAUUGGGUUUAAAGGGUGCGUAGGUGGCCUGUUAAGUCAGGGGUGAAAGACGGUAGCUCAACUAUCGCAGUGCCCUUGAUACUGAUGGGCUUGAAUAAACUAGAGGUAGGCGGAAUGUGACAAGUAGCGGUGAAAUGCAUAGAUAUGUCACAGAACACCAGUUGCGAAGGCAGCUUACUAUGGUUUUAUUGACACUGAGGCACGAAAGCGUGGGGAUCAAACAGGAUUAGAUACCCUGGUAGUCCAAGGGNGAAUUCGCGGCCGCUAA
This 814-nucleotide ribosomal RNA is filed under the name uncultured bacterium. RNAcentral's name for it is "bacterial SSU rRNA". It matches the Rfam family "Bacterial small subunit ribosomal RNA", at positions 8 to 819 of the family's 1533-position model. The record is from RNAcentral.